Molecule: ribosomal RNA, 2403 nt
Filed under: Triticum aestivum (bread wheat)
Lineage: Eukaryota; Viridiplantae; Streptophyta; Magnoliopsida; Poales; Poaceae
Description: partial small subunit ribosomal RNA
Source: RNAcentral
AUGCAUCCUCCACCUUCUUGCUCACAGGCUUCCCCGGCGGCCAAUGCCGCCUCCAAGAGCCCUAAUCCCCGCGCUCUUACCGCCGAUGAGGAUGACCCAGACCUGCCCCCACGGGAGGCGCCCCCGGGGAUCCCUGAACUGCUGCACCACCGGAACCGCGCGGGGGCGGCGGAGCGCCUCCCUGCCAUCCGCGCCAACCUCCGCCUCCUCCCCCCGCCCGCCGCCCCGGCCCCGUCCCCCGCGAGCGACGCCGGCCUCCGCGCGCUCGGCCUCCUCAGCUUCGUCCAUCUGGACCUCUCGCCUUCCCCAUCCUCCGGAGGCAUGCGCAGCGACCUCGUCACGGCGCUAAUUGCCAACUAUCUCCCCACACUUGAGUGGAGCUACGCACGAGGCGCCGGCUUCGAGAUCUCCCGCGGUACCUUUGCCGCCGCGCUCUGCCUCCCGGCCCCGCGAAGCACCGCGUCCGUCCAUCACGAGCCCCCGUCCGGCGUCGACCCCGCCGCCGUGGCCUCCGCCGCGUCGGAGUUCAUGGAGGCGUACAUCAUGACGCCGUUAGCGGCCACCAACAAGGGGAAGCUGCCCACCUAUGUCGAGUCAGCGGUGCGGAAGGUGAAGGAUGGGAUGGCGCAUACCGUCGACUGGACAGCUCUACUCUGGCGCCUUGUGGAGAAGGAGGUGUUCGAGCUGAGGAGGGGGAAGAGAACCGAUUGGGAGUGCUACUACGGCGCAUACCUGCACAGGCUCAUCUGGGUGCAGAGGCCGCACCUCUUCUGGCCACCACCCGUCGCGCCAUCGGAGCAAGCGGCAUUGGUCGACAAGAAUCAGCAGCUCCGUUCAGAGUUGGAGUCCAAGAUGCAGGAGUAUGAGGUGAGGUCAGAGCUGCUUCAAGCGAGGUCUGUGGAGGUUGAGGCGAAAUCAAGGCAACUUGAUUCUCUAGCUGAGCGGCAUCAUCAUGAAAUGAGGAACCUCGAGCAAGAUAUGAAAAAGCAACUUGAUGCUCUAGCUGAGCGGCAUCGCCAUGACAUGAGGAACCUCGAGCAAGAGAAAAGGCAACUUGAUGCUCUAGCAGAGCGGCAUCACCAUGACAUGAGGAACCUCGAGCAAGAUAAGAAAACGCAACUUGAUUCUCUAGCAGAGCGGCAUCACCAUGACAUGAGGAACCUCGAGCAAGAUAAGAAAAGGCAACUUGAUGCUCUAGCUGAGCGGCAUCACCAUGAGAUGAGGAACCUCGAGCAAGAUAAGAAAAAGCAACUUGAUGCUCUAGCUGAACGGCAUCACCAUGACAUGAGGAACCUCGAGCAAGAUAACAAAACGCAACUUGAUUCUCUAGCUGCACAGUAUCACCAUGACAUGAGGAACCUCGAGCAAGAUAAGAAAAGGUUGCAGGAUGAGGUGCACACAGUCAAGCUGUUGAACCAGGUUCUGCUUUCCAAGGAAACAGAGAGCAAUGAUGAAGCACAGCGAGCUCUGGAAGAACUGGCUUAUGUGAGCAAGCAGCUAGAAGAGUUAAAGGAUGAGAUGCACGCAGUGGAGUCAUUUAACGAGGCUCUGGUUGAGAAUGAAAUAAAAAGAAACUCUGAACUUCAACGAGAAGAGCAAGAGGUGAUAGAUGUGAGAAAGCAGCUAGCACAUUUACAGGAGGAGAUGCACGCCAUUGAACUGCUCAACCAGGUCAUGGAUGCCAAGGGAAAAGAAAACAAUGAUGAAUUGCAAAGGGUACGGAACGAGCUAGCACAUGUAAGCAAGCGACUAGCGGAUUUACAAGACGAGAUGUCCAUAAUGGAUUCAGUCAACAAAGCUCUAAUAGUUGCCAAGGAAAGAGAAAGCAAAGACGAGUUGCAAGAUAUCCGGAAAAAAAUGAAAGAUCUAAGCGAUGAGCGUGAAGGGCUAGAGUCAGACAACAAGGUUCUGACAACCAAGGAAAAAAGAAGCAACGACGAGCUGCAAGACGCCCGGAAAGCGCUAAUAGAUAUCUUGCAGAAUUUUAACUCGAAUGGACAAGCACACAUACGUGUUAAAAGAAUGGGCGAGCUUGACCCGAAACAAUUUCCAAACGCUUGCAAACAGGAUUUAUUGCAAGAGGAUGCACAAGUUGAUUCUGCUCUCCUUUGUUCGAAAUGGGAAGCUCGAAUUGCAGACCCAAACUGGCACCCUUUCGAGGUCCGCAUGAUUGAUGGUAAAGCGAAGGAAAUUCUGCUAGAGGAUGAUGUUAAGCUUCAGGAGUUAAAAGGGCACGGUGAAGAAAUAUACGCUUUAGUAAUGAAGGCGCUGUUUGAAAUUAACGAGUACAACCCCAGUGGCCGUAUUCCUAUGCCGGAGCUGUGGAACUACAAGGAUGAUCGGAGAGCAACACUGGAAGAAGCCAUCAAGUAUAUCCUGAAAUCACGCAAGAGGAAGCGCUGA